This 673-nucleotide ribosomal RNA is filed under the name bacterium enrichment culture clone F7 1.713-12. Its description in RNAcentral is "bacterial SSU rRNA". It matches the Rfam family "Bacterial small subunit ribosomal RNA", at positions 8 to 660 of the family's 1533-position model. The record is from RNAcentral.
AGAGUUUGAUCAUGGCUCAGAUUGAACGCUGGCGGCGUGCUUAACACAUGCAAGUCGUGCGAGAAAGGUUCCUUCGGGGACUGAGUAGAGCGGCGCACGGGUGAGUAACGCGUGGGUGACCUACCUAGGAGAUCGGGAUAACAGCGGGAAACUGCUGCUAAUACCGGCUACGCUUCAUAUUUCACGUAUGGGGGAAAGGCGGCCUCUGCUUGCAAGCUGCCGCUCUUAGAUGGGCCCGCGUCUCAUUAGCUUGUUGGUGGGGUAAUGGCCUACCAAGGCUACGAUGAGUAGCUGGUCUGAGAGGAUGAUCAGCCACACUGGGACUGAAACACGGCCCAGACUCCUACGGGAGGCAGCAGUGGGGAAUAUUGCGCAAUGGGUGAAAGCCUGACGCAGCGACGCCGCGUGAGGGAAGAAGGCCUUCGGGUCGUAAACCUCUGUCUAGAGGGAAGAAACCAUUGAGGUCGAACAGGCCUCUUUGCUGACGGUACCUCUGAAGGAAGCACCGGCUAACUCCGUGCCAGCAGCCGCGGUAAUACGGAGGGUGCGAGCGUUAAUCGGAAUCACUGGGCGUAAAGCGCACGUAGGCGGUGUCGUAAGUCGGAUGUGAAAGCCCUCGGCUCAACCGGGGAACUGCAUUCGAUACUGCGAUGCUUGAGUGCCGGAGAGGGUG